This 459-nucleotide ribosomal RNA is filed under the name uncultured bacterium. RNAcentral describes it as "partial 16S ribosomal RNA". It matches the Rfam family "Bacterial small subunit ribosomal RNA", at positions 338 to 795 of the family's 1533-position model. The record is from RNAcentral.
CCUACGGGAGGCAGCAGUGAGGAAUAUUGGUCAAUGGCCUGAAGGCUGAACCAGCCAAGCCGCGUGAAGGACGAAGGUGCCAAGCAUUGUAAACUUCUUGUGGCAAGGGACAAAAUCAGGCUCGAGAGCCUGACCGAGGGUACUUGAAGAAAAAGCAUCGGCUAACGCCGUGCCAGCAGCCGCGGUAAUACGGAGGAUGCAAGAGUUAUCCGGAUUUAUGGGGUUUAAAGGGUGCGCAGGCGGGAGAUCAAGUCAGCGGGAACAUGUCGGGGCUCAACCCCGGCAGGCCUUUGAAACUGGUUUUCUAGAGUUGGAGAGAAGUAUGCGGAAUUCGUGGUGUAGCGGUGAAAUGCAUAAAUAUCACGAAGAACUCCGAUUGCGAAGGCAGCAUACCGGCUCCAUACUGACGCUGAGGCACGAAAGCGUGGGGAUCGAACAGGAUUAGAUACCCCUGUAGUC